GCCUGAGUGGCUCAGUCGGAUGAGCGUCUGGCUCUGGCUCAGGUCAUGAUCUCACAGUUUGUGGGUUCAAGCCCCGCAUUAAGCU
This 85-nucleotide transfer RNA is filed under the name Felis catus (domestic cat). It matches the Rfam family "tRNA". From Rfam's summary of the family: Transfer RNA (tRNA) molecules are approximately 80 nucleotides in length. Their secondary structure includes four short double-helical elements and three loops (D, anti-codon, and T loops). Further hydrogen bonds mediate the characteristic L-shaped molecular structure. tRNAs have two regions of fundamental functional importance: the anti-codon, which is responsible for specific mRNA codon recognition, and the 3' end, to which the tRNAs corresponding amino acid is attached (by aminoacyl-tRNA synthetases). tRNAs cope with the degeneracy of the genetic code in two manners: having more than one tRNA (with a specific anti-codon) for a particular amino acid; and 'wobble' base-pairing, i.e. permitting non-standard base-pairing at the 3rd anti-codon position. Lineage: Eukaryota; Metazoa; Chordata; Mammalia; Carnivora; Felidae. The record is from Rfam by way of RNAcentral.